Molecule: ribosomal RNA, 465 nt
Filed under: uncultured bacterium
Lineage: Bacteria
Description: bacterial SSU rRNA
Rfam family: Bacterial small subunit ribosomal RNA
Source: RNAcentral
CUACGGGAGGCAGCAGUAGGGAAUAUUGCGCAAUGGACGAAAGUCUGACGCAGCGAUGCCGCGUGAGUGACGAAGGCCCUAGGGUCGUAAAGCUCUUUUCUGAGGGAAGAAUGGUCCGGGCAGGAAAUGGUCUGGAUUUGACGGUACCUCAGGAAUAAGGAACGGCUAACUCCGUGCCAGCAGCCGCGGUAAUACGGAGGUUCCAAGCGUUGUUCGGAAUUACUGGGCGUAAAGGGAGCGCAGGCGGACAGGUCAGUUUAAAGUGGAAUCCCAGGGCUCAACCCUGGACGUGCUUUGGAUACUGCCUGUCUUGAGUUUGUGAGAGGAAAGUGGAAUUCAGGGUGUAGCGGUGAAAUGCUUAGAUAUCCUGAGGAACACCAGUGGCGAAAGCGACUUUCUGGCACAUAACUGACGCUGAGGCUCGAAAGCAUGGGUAGCGAACGGGAUUAGAAACCCUUGUAGUCC